UAAAAGCGUGUGGCAAAGCUCA
RNAcentral lists this microRNA (22 nucleotides) under Echinops telfairi (small Madagascar hedgehog). RNAcentral describes it as "Ete-Novel-1_5p (mature (guide))". Lineage: Eukaryota; Metazoa; Chordata; Mammalia; Afrosoricida; Tenrecidae. The record is from RNAcentral.